RNAcentral lists this transfer RNA (77 nucleotides) under Helicobacteraceae bacterium. RNAcentral describes it as "tRNA-His". It matches the Rfam family "tRNA". From Rfam's summary of the family: Transfer RNA (tRNA) molecules are approximately 80 nucleotides in length. Their secondary structure includes four short double-helical elements and three loops (D, anti-codon, and T loops). Lineage: Bacteria; Pseudomonadati; Campylobacterota; Epsilonproteobacteria; Campylobacterales; Helicobacteraceae. The record is from RNAcentral.
GUGGGCGUAGCUCAUUUGGUUAGAGCGUCAGAUUGUGGCUCUGAAGGUAGCCGGUUCGAUCCCGGUCGUCCACCCCA